GGAGGAAGAAGGUCUUCGGAUUGUAAACUCCUGUUGUUGGGGAAGAUAAUGACGGUACCCAACAAGGAAGUGACGGCUAACUACGUGCCAGCAGCCGCGGUAAAACGUAGGUCACAAGCGUUGUCCGGAAUUACUGGGUGUAAAGGGAGCGCAGGCGGGAAGACAAGUUGGAAGUGAAAUCUAUGGGCUCAACCCAUAAACUGCUUUCAAAACUGUUUUUCUUGAGUAGUGCAGAGGUAGGCGGAAUUCCCGGUGUAGCGGUGGAAUGCGUAGAUAUCGGGAGGAACACCAGUGGCGAAGGCGGCCUACUGGGCACCAACUGACGCUGAGGCUCGAAAGUGUGG
This 344-nucleotide ribosomal RNA is filed under the name uncultured bacterium. RNAcentral's name for it is "bacterial SSU rRNA". It matches the Rfam family "Bacterial small subunit ribosomal RNA", at positions 403 to 764 of the family's 1533-position model. The record is from RNAcentral.